Molecule: non-coding RNA, 106 nt
Organism: Otolemur garnettii (small-eared galago)
Lineage: Eukaryota; Metazoa; Chordata; Mammalia; Primates; Galagidae
Source: Rfam
GUGCUCACUUCAGCAGCUCACAUGAAAAACUGGAAUGAUACAGAGAAGGUGAGCCUGGCCCCUGCACAAGGAUGCCCAGAAAAUUCAUGGAGUAUUCCAUAUUUUU